CACUGUCCGAGCAAAAAGAGAACAACGAGAAGAGAGAGAAAGGUAAAGAACGUAUAAAUAACAGAAAUAAGCUAAAGUUGUACAGACGUCAGGCGAUAGAAAUCUGCAGCGUCUGCUUUGCUUGGCCAAAAAUAUUUAAGCGGCUAUAAAUGCUAAAUAACGGUAAUAAAACGCUUAAGCCCCCCAAGCGAGGACAUGGCAAACCAACACGAGAACAGUUCCCAUCUACGACUCCGGCUUUGCGGUUUUGCUUUUUCACAACGGAAAUAAUGCAAAAAUAGCUGAAGGCCAUGACAGAGGAGAGGGACAAUGUGGAAGGCGGCCAAGUCCACCAAGUGCUCCCUAGAGAGUGCGAAAUAAGAGACUUUAAACUGGCGAACUGAAAACGGCCGCAAGGAAAAUGGAAAAUGGAAAAUGCUACUGCCACUCGUGCUGUUGUCACGGAGCCGUGGCGGAAGCGCAGCUUUUAAUGACUCAACCUCAACUCGUUAAAGCCAAAGGCAUUCGCAUAAUGAACUCAUUUGCGUAUAGCAUGGAUCCUAAUAGGGUCAACAAAGCUGAUGACUUGCCCGCAAACCCUAAAGACGUUUCAGCUAACAGAAAUUCCAAUGCAAAGUGCCGAUCGAGCUGCCGUUGCCGCUGCUGCUGCUUCGCUUAAUUACACUUUAAGUAGCCGUAGUCAAUGGAAAUUCAAUAGGACCCAGUGUCCAGUGUGCUAAUGAGUCGCAUGAAUUCAUUCCGAGGAUGAAAAACAUGGCAAGCUAAUGAGAGAUAAAGUGAAAAGAAAUCGAAUGAAAUGCAGGGCUCAAUGAAAAUACAUAAAUAGAAGCAUUCGCAGGCAGCUCGAAUUUCGUGGCACGUUUUUGAUUUUAUCAGCUGGCAAAUUUAUGCAACACUUUGCAGCACGAGCAAGUGGCAAGUGGCCCUUUCAAUCAGUUCUUUAUGACCGGGCCAAGAGUCAUUAAACGGAAAUCUAAUUAAGCAGCUGACAGAUUUAUGAAUAUCGCCAGUUUACCUGUUCACAAUUUCACAACUCUGUCGAGGCAUAAAUUAGUUGUUUUUGCAAGGGGCAAGUGCAAUGUGGCAUGCUAACAAAAGAUUUUUCAGCUACUGCAAAUGAUGCGAUAAAUGAAGCUCACAUCUUUAGAGAGUGUGGAUGCUACAUCGGGAUCCUUGCAUCUUAACGACGCGAUGCGAUGCGAUAGGAUGGGAAGUGAUGUGUGUGCAGUCACGUGGCAAACGCAGAGGACUCAAUGCAUCAGAAGGCGGCCUCUUAACGAAGGGCAUCCUUAAGCAAGAGGUUAUUAAAAUGACAUAUGGAAUUUACGUGAACAAAGAAUGAGCUCGUACAAAAUGACAACAGAAGAUGCAAAAUGCGAAGAGGGAAUUAAGGAAGGUCCGAGGCGAUGUUGGAGCCUCGAAAGUUGUGGCAACUUAUUUAAGUCUGGGCCACUUUUGAGAACUGCUGUUGCCACUUAGUUGCAUGCAAUUCAUUUGCCUGUUAACAAAACUUGACAACAGGAUUUUCAAUGAGGCACAGCCUGCACUCUGAAGUCUCAGGUCUGGCAAGCUGGAGAGCAGUUGUGCGUCCCUCUUUGUGGAUGCCACGUGCUGAACUGAACUGAACUGAGCUGUUUGAUAAAUAACUCUUGGUGUCAGUUUUGCAAAUAGCCGUGCAUUAAUAACGCCCUUUCAGUACCAACAUUGUUGUUUAUUUGCCUGCUUGGAACAAGCAGCUUGCCUUGGAAAUAUGAAACUCUCUGCUCUGUUGGCAUGUGGCAAGACUUGAAAGUUGAAAUUAAUUUCCACUGAAGAUUACUUUCAAUGAGUCAUUAAUGUGAUUAA
RNA transcript from Drosophila albomicans, 1845 nucleotides. RefSeq lists it as uncharacterized. The transcript has 2 exons. The record is from RefSeq and is a predicted model, not a curated record. Lineage: Eukaryota; Metazoa; Arthropoda; Insecta; Diptera; Drosophilidae.